This is a small nucleolar RNA of Marchantia polymorpha subsp. polymorpha, 87 nucleotides long. NCBI's taxonomy places the organism in Eukaryota, Viridiplantae, Streptophyta, Marchantiopsida, Marchantiales, Marchantiaceae. The record is from Rfam.
UGACGAGGAUUAUAAAAUACCCGCGCUUCUGAAAGCUCGCGCUUUGUGAAGUAAAUUGGUAUUGGUUGAAUUUCUUCGUAUGAGUCU